Molecule: non-coding RNA, 347 nt
Organism: Betaproteobacteria bacterium RIFCSPLOWO2_02_67_12
Lineage: Bacteria; Pseudomonadati; Pseudomonadota; Betaproteobacteria
Source: Rfam
GGAGCUGGCCAGGCAGCCGCUGCGCCGCAAGGCGUGGAGGAAAGUCCGGGCUCCACAGAGCGGGAUGCGGGGUAACACCCCGGCGUGCAUAAACGCCGCGCAAGCGGCGCGAAGACGACGAACAGGGCCACAGAGACGAGUCCCCGGCCUCAAAACCCGGGGGGUGAAACGCGGCAACCUCCAUCCGGAGCAACACCAAAUAGGCAAGCGCCCGAGGCCUGCUCGGCCGAGCUUGCGGGUAGGUGGCUUGAGCCUUGGGGCAACCCCGGGCCCAGAGGAAUGGCUGCCAGGGCAUGGCCCUUGCGGGAUCAUGCCUACAGAACCCGGCUUAUCGGCCGGCUCCCAUU